Molecule: ribosomal RNA, 468 nt
Filed under: uncultured bacterium
Lineage: Bacteria
Description: partial 16S ribosomal RNA
Rfam family: Bacterial small subunit ribosomal RNA
Source: RNAcentral
GACGAACGCUGGCGGCGUGCUUAACACAUGCAAGUCGAACGGAAAGUCCCUGCUUUUCUGGUGUGCUCGAGUGGCGAACGGGUGUGUAACCCGUGUGUCUCCUGCCCUUCACUUUGGGAUAACUUCAGGAACCUGGCUCUAAUACCGGAUAGGUCCUCCUGCUGCAUGGUGUGCGUUGGAAAGUUUCGGCGUUUGGGGAUGGACUCGCGGCUUAUCAGCUUGUUUGUGGGGUAGUGGCUUACCAAGGCUUUGACGGGUAGCCGGCAUGAGAGGGUGACCGGCCACAUUGGGACGGAGAUACGGACGAGACUCAUACGGGAGGCAGCAGUGGGAAAUAGUGGAGAAUGGGCGGAAGCCAGAUGCAGAAACGCAGCGUGCGGGAUGAGGGCCAACGGGUAGAAAAACGCAUUAGGCUGUGACGAAGCGUGAGUGACGGUAAUGGGUAAAGAAGCACCGGCUAACUACGUG